Non-coding RNA from Benincasa hispida (wax gourd), 3913 nucleotides. NCBI's taxonomy places the organism in Eukaryota, Viridiplantae, Streptophyta, Magnoliopsida, Cucurbitales, Cucurbitaceae. The record is from RefSeq and is a predicted model, not a curated record.
UUUUAUUUUUAAGGGUUGAUGAUUGCAGAGACACGAUUUGAUACUCCCACCUAACUCCCAAUCCAUCUCUCUCGAGUUCUUCACAAGGCGUUCUCUGUGAAAAAAAACUCUCCAAAACUGAAAAUUUCCUUUUGUUUCAAGAGGGAUUUCCACAAAUUGGCUCCUUGCCAGAGACAUAGCGGAGAAGACUCUAUUGAAGCGUCACUAUUUGUGAGAUUUAUUCGUUGGGAAAGAAGAAUUUUUUUUAGAAAAUUGAAGAAUGGUUCUUCAAAGGAUCUGACCCUAUCAAAGACUGCCGUAUUUUCUUAUAGGAAAUCUAUGAAUCUGCAAGCCAUUAAAGAUUGGAUAUAGAAUGCUUACAAGGGUGGAAGGAUAAAUUCUUCUUAAUAGGGGCAAAGGAAGUGCUUAUUAAAAUAUGGAAAAUGCGAUACCUACCUAUGCUAUGAGCUGUUUACAUCUCCUUAAAGGAUUAUGUCUGAAAUCAUGAGGUUGUGCGAUAGGUUCUAGUAAGGUGCCACGGAAGAGAAAAGGAAAAUUCACUAGAUGAGGUGGGAAAAACUGUGUUCCCAAAGAGUUGUGGGGAUAAAUUUUGGAAAUAUUGAGUUGUUCAACCAAGCUUUGCAAGCCAAGCAAGUAUGGAGGAUUAAAAAAAUCCCUUAUCCAAAUGAGUAGGGUUCUAACAGGAUGGUAUUUCCCAAAUUGCUCUGUUUUGGAAGCCCCUGGGUCCUGAUCAAGAUCAUACUUUUGGAAAAGUUUGUGUUGGGGUUGUUAUGUGUUCAAGAGGGGUAUUAGGAAGAUGAUUGGAAAUGGGAUAUUGAUGCUAGCUUUUCAGGACCCUUGGAUUUCUAGACUGUAAACUUUAAUUAUGGUUUCUAAAGGUACUGUGGGUGAGAAACGGUUUGUGGCCAGGUAAUUGGGACAUUCAUAUGUUGAACAGGGAUUUAAUGACCUCAACCGUUGAGGAGAUCACCAGGGUCCCAGUUAGUCGAUCCAAUAGGGAGGAUCAAUGGAUCUAGCACUAUGAUAAAACGGAUUUGAAGAAAAAUGAAGAAAAAUGGUCAAGGAAACCAAAGUUGCAGUCUUGAAUGCAUAGAAGAGAUCAACUUAGUGUCCAACUUUGCAACACAGAAAACUGCACGAUAAGAUGAGACAUGAAAAGAGAAAACGACAAACGCAUAGGCAAUGGAUGUCAUAUCAAGAUGCAUGUUGGUAGCUUAUUUGAGACAUUUGUAAUAGAGUCAAUGAAUCUAUGAUGCGAGUAGUCGGUGCAACAGGAUAUGGAAUUCAAUGCAAGGUGUCGAUGCAUCAUUAGAGAGAGACAAAGAACCUUCUUUUUUAUGCCUAUAAAAAGCCCAUUGAAGAUUUUUCUAAGUAUCAUACGAGACUUCUUACCAAGAAAUUGGUCGAAAUUCUAUCCAUUCCUCACUUGAAAUCCACCAUUGCUACCACUUCUUCAAGCUCUUCUUUAGAGAAUUCUGAGUCAAAGCUCAAUUUUCUUCUUUGAAAAUGGAGAAAAAAAGAGACCAUCAUCAUUGUGCAACCACAUUGAAGCAGCAUCAUUAGAGCCAAAGGGAACAAGAAAUCGUGACAUGCAGGAUCUCGAUUGUAGGUGUAUUGCACCCUUGUCUAUGAAAUGGUGCAAAACAUUACAUGAAUGAAGGCACAAUGCCUGGACUAGUAUAUAGCCCUGAGAUCGAACGGACUUUCCACAGACGCAUAAGAACAAACAGGAAGAGAUGAUAGAGAAAAAAACCUCGAGUAAUGAGAGAUCAACAUAACAACUCAAUAGCAUCAAACGUGAUCAACAUCUGAGGCAACAAUGAAGUGAAUAACGCAUUGGCGCCUGCCAAUCCCAUACUUCUUACAAAUGAUCGCAACAGACCAAUCAAAGAUUAUGCUUCGCCUAAUCAAUAUGACUUUUCACCAGACAUCAUGCGACCAUUAGCUGAAAGUACUCGAUUUGAGAUGAAAACGGUAAUGUUAAAGAUGAUCCAAACAACUAGACAAUUUGGAGGUGCGCUAGGAGAAGAUCCUCAUGCCCACUUAAAAUGCUUCAUUCGGAUCUGCAACCUUUUUGUGAUUCCAAAUGUCUCAGCUAAUGAAAUUCAAUUGUUCAUGUUUCCAUUCUCUCUAAAAGAUGGAGCAAGACAAUGGGUGUAUAAACGAGAACUAGGUGAAAUCAACUUAUGGGAAUAGAUGGUGGCUAAAUUCAUAAGGAAGUUCUUCCCUCCAACAAAAACUGCAAAGAGGCGAAGAGACAUCACCAAUUUUGAACAAAGGGAGCAGGAAACCUUAAGUGAUGCAUGGAAGAGAUUCAAUAAAUUAGUCAAAAUGUGUCUACAUAACGGUUUGUCGGACUGUGUGCAAAUGGAGGUUUUUUUUAUGAUGGACUUAAAGAAGUAUCACAGAUCGUAACUGACUUUGUGGUAGAAAGUGGCUUACUACAAAAGACUUAUACUAAGGCAAAGGCCAUUCUGGACUAGAUUCCACAAAACCAUGAAGAUUGAAAGGAGAAUGGGUUUGGAUCACGGUCAAUUUCAACAAGGAGAAAUAAUUCAAGAACGAAUAAUGACACCAUCGCAACAUUACAAAUGCAAGUGACUACAAUUUCAAAGCUAUUACAAGCUAUGACAAUGACCAAAAAUGGCACAGAGAAUAAUAAUCAGUUAAUGUGACAUCCGAAUCCUCACUGAAUUCCUUAGGUUAAGAAAAGAGUUCAGACUUAAAAGCCUUGAAAGGAAAUGAUUGGCUAAAUACGUAAACUAGGCCAUGAAGGAAGUAUUAAUACUUAGGAAAAUCUCUAAUUAUUGGAAACAUGUGAUUGAUUUAAGAGUUGGAAUUCAAAUGUUGGAAAGACAAGGUAAACACCUAGUCCAAGGAAGAAGAAGGAAUUUGGACUAAAUACUAAGUAUGGGAUGAAUCAUCCUAGAGUUGGAAGUAUAACUGGAAUUGUAGGAGUUUUGGACGCAUGCUUGAAACAGAAUAGGCUCACUUGGACGCAUGCUAGGGAGGCAUGCAUUUAAUUUCAUCUUGGACGCAUAGUAAGAAGUUUGGGACUAAAUCAAGGGGAGAAACCAUGUUACAAAAAGGAAGUUAUGGCCAAGAAGUAGGGAUUUGAGAAGUUGAAUGCACGAACCAAGGGGUCAUACAUCCACCAAGGAGUAUUUGGGCAUUAAGUGACAACAAGGGGAGGAACAUAGGUUCUUCAGAUGAAAUUUUGAUAAAUCAAAGUAGGAGGUAGAGGGCGGAAAUGCAAGAUUUAAUAUGGGACAACCACUUCAAAGGUAGUAUGCGUUAGACAUAUGUAACAGAGAACAUGACUUACCUACAUGCAAGUAGCUGGUGGGAAUGAAGAAGGUGGUGGCUCAACCAGAAGAAGAUGCUCAAAUUUCCUUUAAGAAGGAGGUGGCAGGUGUUUGAGGCUUGAAGGAUAACAAGGAUGAUCUGAAGUUGCCUACAAAUACCUUUAGGGUGUUACCUUUCACUCUACAACUUUCUGAUCUCUUGAGAAAUCUUAUAAGGGAGUUAUUGGAGAGAAUUAAAGUUUGAAGGGAAGACCAUGUGUUGGAGUGUUGUAUCAGGCGUCCAAGCUUGACUAUUAGGUGUUGAACAGGUUGAACCAGGCAUUGGUGUGGUUGUCCAUGUGUUCAACUUGGCUGUGAAGUGUAACCCUGCGUCCAACAGCCGUUUCUUUUCCUAAAUUGAAGGUGUAGUUUGAGCAUGGGUGGUUGGUAAGCUAGGGUUAAGGUUAAGGAAAUGUAUUAAGAUUAUUUUAACCCUAAACAUGGGAUUUUAAGUUGAUAUUUGGGUUGAUACAAACUCAGGAUUUAGGAAGAAAAGAAGAUACAGGAGAGUAAGGAACCCUUUUUCCCAAUGAACUAUGAGUGGUUUUUCUCUCUCUGUCUUUGUGAUU